UUAAGUUAUUAAGGGCGCACGGUGGAUGCCUUGGCACUAGAAGCCGAUGAAGGACGUUACUAACGACGAUAUGCUUUGGGGAGCUGUAAGUAAGCUUUGAUCCAGAGAUUUCCGAAUGGGGAAACCCAGCAUGAGUUAUGUCAUGUUAUCGAUAUGUGAAUACAUAGCAUAUCAGAAGGCACACCCGGAGAACUGAAACAUCUUAGUACCCGGAGGAAGAGAAAGAAAAUUCGAUUCCCUUAGUAGCGGCGAGCGAAACGGGAAGAGCCCAAACCAACAAGCUUGCUUGUUGGGGUUGUAGGACACUCUGUACGGAGUUACAAAGGACGACAUUAGACGAAUCAUCUGGAAAGAUGAAUCAAAGAAGGUAAUAAUCCUGUAGUCGAAAAUGUUGUCUCUCUUGAGUGGAUCCUGAGUACGACGGAGCACGUGAAAUUCCGUCGGAAUCUGGGAGGACCAUCUCCUAAGGCUAAAUACUCUCUAGUGACCGAUAGUGAACCAGUACCGUGAGGGAAAGGUGAAAAGCACCCCGGAAGGGGAGUGAAAUAGAACCUGAAACCGUGUGCUUACAAGUAGUCAGAGCCCGUUAAUGGGUGAUGGCGUGCCUUUUGAAGAAUGAACCGGCGAGUUACGAUUUGAUGCAAGGUUAAGCAGUAAAUGUGGAGCCGUAGCGAAAGCGAGUCUGAAUAGGGCGUUUAGUAUUUGGUCGUAGACCCGAAACCAGGUGAUCUACCCUUGGUCAGGUUGAAGUUCAGGUAACACUGAAUGGAGGAUCGAACCGACUUACGUUGAAAAGUGAGCGGAUGAACUGAGGGUAGCGGAGAAAUUCCAAUCGAACCUGGAGAUAGCUGGUUCUCUCCGAAAUAGCUUUAGGGCUAGCCUCAAGUGAUGAUUAUUGGAGGUAGAGCACUGUUUGGACGAGGGGCCCCUCUCGGGUUACCGAAUUCAGACAAACUCCGAAUGCCAAUUAAUUUAACUUGGGAGUCAGAACAUGGGUGAUAAGGUCCGUGUUCGAAAGGGAAACAGCCCAGACCACCAGCUAAGGUCCCAAAAUAUAUGUUAAGUGGAAAAGGAUGUGGCGUUGCCCAGACAACUAGGAUGUUGGCUUAGAAGCAGCCAUCAUUUAAAGAGUGCGUAAUAGCUCACUAGUCGAGUGACACUGCGCCGAAAAUGUACCGGGGCUAAACAUAUUACCGAAGCUGUGGAUUGUCCUUUGGACAAUGGUAGGAGAGCGUUCUAAGGGCGUUGAAGCAUGAUCGUAAGGACAUGUGGAGCGCUUAGAAGUGAGAAUGCCGGUGUGAGUAGCGAAAGACGGGUGAGAAUCCCGUCCACCGAUUGACUAAGGUUUCCAGAGGAAGGCUCGUCCGCUCUGGGUUAGUCGGGUCCUAAGCUGAGGCCGACAGGCGUAGGCGAUGGAUAACAGGUUGAUAUUCCUGUACCACCUAUAAUCGUUUUAAUCGAUGGGGGGACGCAGUAGGAUAGGCGAAGCGUGCGAUUGGAUUGCACGUCUAAGCAGUAAGGCUGAGUAUUAGGCAAAUCCGGUACUCGUUAAGGCUGAGCUGUGAUGGGGAGAAGACAUUGUGUCUUCGAGUCGUUGAUUUCACACUGCCGAGAAAAGCCUCUAGAUAGAAAAUAGGUGCCCGUACCGCAAACCGACACAGGUAGUCAAGAUGAGAAUUCUAAGGUGAGCGAGCGAACUCUCGUUAAGGAACUCGGCAAAAUGACCCCGUAACUUCGGGAGAAGGGGUGCUCUUUAGGGUUAACGCCCAGAAGAGCCGCAGUGAAUAGGCCCAAGCGACUGUUUAUCAAAAACACAGGUCUCUGCUAAACCGUAAGGUGAUGUAUAGGGGCUGACGCCUGCCCGGUGCUGGAAGGUUAAGAGGAGUGGUUAGCUUCUGCGAAGCUACGAAUCGAAGCCCCAGUAAACGGCGGCCGUAACUAUAACGGUCCUAAGGUAGCGAAAUUCCUUGUCGGGUAAGUUCCGACCCGCACGAAAGGCGUAACGAUUUGGGCACUGUCUCAACGAGAGACUCGGUGAAAUCAUAGUACCUGUGAAGAUGCAGGUUACCCGCGACAGGACGGAAAGACCCCGUGGAGCUUUACUGUAGCCUGAUAUUGAAAUUCGGCACAGCUUGUACAGGAUAGGUAGGAGCCUUUGAAACGUGAGCGCUAGCUUACGUGGAGGCGCUGGUGGGAUACUACCCUAGCUGUGUUGGCUUUCUAACCCGCACCACUUAUCGUGGUGGGAGACAGUGUCAGGCGGGCAGUUUGACUGGGGCGGUCGCCUCCUAAAAGGUAACGGAGGCGCUCAAAGGUUCCCUCAGAAUGGUUGGAAAUCAUUCAUAGAGUGUAAAGGCAUAAGGGAGCUUGACUGCGAGACCUACAAGUCGAGCAGGGUCGAAAGACGGACUUAGUGAUCCGGUGGUUCCGCAUGGAAGGGCCAUCGCUCAACGGAUAAAAGCUACCCCGGGGAUAACAGGCUUAUCUCCCCCAAGAGUUCACAUCGACGGGGAGGUUUGGCACCUCGAUGUCGGCUCAUCGCAUCCUGGGGCUGUAGUCGGUCCCAAGGGUUGGGCUGUUCGCCCAUUAAAGCGGUACGCGAGCUGGGUUCAGAACGUCGUGAGACAGUUCGGUCCCUAUCCGUCGUGGGCGUAGGAAAUUUGAGAGGAGCUGUCCUUAGUACGAGAGGACCGGGAUGGACAUACCUCUGGUGUACCAGUUGUCGUGCCAACGGCAUAGCUGGGUAGCUAUGUGUGGACGGGAUAAGUGCUGAAAGCAUCUAAGCAUGAAGCCCCCCUCAAGAUGAGAUUUCCCAACUUCGGUUAUAAGAUCCCUCAAAGAUGAUGAGGUUAAUAGGUUCGAGGUGGAAGCAUGGUGACAUGUGGAGCUGACGAAUACUAAUCGAUCGAAGACUUAAUCAA
This 2921-nucleotide ribosomal RNA is filed under the name Staphylococcus aureus M0654. Its description in RNAcentral is "bacterial LSU rRNA". It matches the Rfam family "Bacterial large subunit ribosomal RNA". Lineage: Bacteria; Bacillati; Bacillota; Bacilli; Caryophanales; Staphylococcaceae. The record is from RNAcentral.